AGGUUCUGGACCCGUUUUUACGGGGGGUAAUGUUCGUGUUGUAGGGGAGGUUCUGCCGAAUUUUCGGUAGUUCCCGAGUCUAGAUUCUUAGACAGUCAGUCCUAGGAGUCUAGACCUAGGAUUAAUGAUGGAUUGUCUCAGCGUAUUGAUAAAUUGUUUUCCGUGAUUAGAUGAUCUGUCUGUUCGGCUCGCUCCUACCGAGGCACCGGAGCAGAGCUAGGAGGUCGCCAAUCCUGUGAGUUAAAGUCAUUUAAUCUUUGCGCUAUUGCUAGUCUGAUUUUAAUAUGCUAUUUAGAAUUUGUGCUUAAUAUGAUUAUUAGUAUGUUAUAAUAAGACAAACGUUAUUAUUUUUCCCCUCACAAAUUGCACGUUAUUUUAUCUUAAAUCUUUAAUCUUUAUUUCGAUAUGUGUUGGAUGAGUUCAGCAGAUAAUGAUAUUUAUUAUAUGUGAUGAUUGCGAAUUGGGAAAUGUGGCUUGUAGAACAUGCCGCCUGAUGGGUUACAUCAGGACCGCGUGCGCACCGGUAAUGAUCAUGGACAUGUAAUAAGAUAUUUAUGGGUUUGCCCUGGUCGAGCAUGGCUCUCUGGGCUGAUUUGUGUAAAUUGCCGGAGGUAAGGUCCCUGGUCGAGCAUUGCUCUCGGGGCGCCGGCUUAUUUGGAUAUUUAAGUGACCAGACUGGAGGUAAGGUCCCUGGUCGAGCAUUGCUCUCGGGGCGCCAGUCUUAUUGGAUUAAGAGAGCCGAAUGGCUAUUAGAUUUUGGGGUUUAGGGUUCUACCGAGCCACUCGUCCCGUAAAAGUAAAAAUAUAUUUUUAUUUAUUCAUUUAUUAAUUUAUUGUGGUAUGAUUAUAAUAUGGAUUGUAUUUACGUGCAUGGUUGAUAUUUUGAUUCGAAUGAUUAAUAUUUUAUGUGAAGGAAAUAGUAGGGUAUGAUUAUAGUAUGAUUUGAAUAAUCUAUGUUUUCUGAGAAGAAGCAAUAGUCCCUAGAUUAUUUGAUUUUAACUCACUCUCGAGACUGACAGUCUCCAUUUAUUGUUUUUCAGAUUCGUGACUGUUAGUUCUCUCGCGACUCUUAUUCAGUAACCCGACUCCUUCAUCAUCGGGUGAAGUAUUUGAUUUGGUAUGUAAAAUGGUAAAUCUUAGAUUCUCCGCAGUAGUAAAUAGUAGAUGUAUCAGUUGUAAAUUUUCUGAGCUUCGGGUCUCGCCUAGUUUUUUUUGGCAGACCGAAGUAUUUAUGUAGAAUGUGGCUAUUAAGAUAAUUUAUGGUUUUAAUAAUAUUAAUUUGAGAUGAGAUUUGUUUAAAUCAGUGAGUGUCAGGCUUACUACGGGUUUCGGUGGCCUUAAGCCUAC
This 1347-nucleotide long non-coding RNA is filed under the name Ricinus communis (castor bean). RNAcentral's name for it is "long non-coding RNA (RCOM_LNC002968)". The record is from RNAcentral. Lineage: Eukaryota; Viridiplantae; Streptophyta; Magnoliopsida; Malpighiales; Euphorbiaceae.